GACGAACGCUGGCGGCGUGCUUAACACAUGCAAGUCGAACGGAAAGGCCCGGCUCUUGUGGGGUGCUCGAGUGGCGAACGGGUGAGUAACACGUGAGUAACCUGUCCUUGACUGUGGGAUAACUUCAGGGAACUGGGGCGAAUAUCGGACAGGAGAUCCUGCUGCAUGGUGGGGGUUGGAAAGUUUCGUCGGUUUGGGAUGGACUGGCGGCUUAUCAGCUUGUUGGUGGGGUAGUGGCUUACCAGUGCAUGGAGGGGUAGCCGGACUGAGAGGGUGACCGGCCACAAUGGGACUGAGAUACGGCCCAUACUGCUACGUGAGGCAGCAGUGGGGAAUAUUGCACAAUGGGCGGAAGCCGUAUGCAGCAACGCCGCGUGCGGGAUGACGGCCGUCGGGUUGUAAACCGCUUUCGCCUGGAACGAAGCGUGAGUGACGGUAACGGGUAAAGAAGCACCGGCUAACUACGUG
This 468-nucleotide ribosomal RNA is filed under the name uncultured bacterium. Its description in RNAcentral is "partial 16S ribosomal RNA". It matches the Rfam family "Bacterial small subunit ribosomal RNA", at positions 28 to 507 of the family's 1533-position model. The record is from RNAcentral.